CAAAGUCCGUUUUCUCCUGGAACGGCUGUUCCCUCUUCUCUCUGUGGUUUGGCUGGGACGCCAUCCCUGUUCCAGGGCUCUUGGGACCUGGGGGGAUGAGAUCAUCAGCUCCCCCCGCUGGUCACCGUGAUGUGUUGUUAUCACCUGCAUCCAGGCCUGACCAACCGGUCCAUCUCAGUGACCGGUUUAGAGGUGUGUGUACUCGAACCGAGCUGGGACAGCGGGAUACGACUCUGGAACUUUCAUCCCGAUGUUGACAAGAAAGGAGACCCAUCUUCCCACUGAACCUGAAGCGGAUGGGCCUUCUGUAACCCAAGACCUGCUGGGAGCACCAAGUGGACGGAGCGUGGCCAAGAGGGCAGCCAGUAUUGCCGAAGGCUGAUCGAGAGGCGGACGGAGUCUUCACCCUGUUUGAGAUUCUCUGUCCAUCCCUGCCUGAAGCCUGUGAACCCAACCAUGAGACAAGCCUGGACUGACCUGCCCGAGGAUGAAAAUCCACACAGAGGAGAGCGGAGCCAUUUCUCCAGAGGCUGUCCUAGACCCGCCAGCCCCAAGCAAUCUGCUAGCUUCCCAAGAGGAAUAAGUGAGCUCAGGUGUCAUUAGGUGGGCCUGGCCCAUCCAGAAGAUACACUAAGCCAACCUACAGACUUGUGAGUGGACGCAAAUGGGUACUGCUUUCAGCCACUGGGCUUUGUGGCUUUUUGUUAUAUAGAACUACCAAGGCAAUAGUGGUUCGAAAUCAAAAUUUUGUAAUUCUGCAAUUCUAAAGGUCUUCGCUUUCAUCUCUUAUUAGCAAUCCUGAAUUCACAGGUAGCAGAUUCAGGUGUGAACGUAACCGUUGCUUUAUUUUUUCUGGACUGAAUUGAUUUCCUCUUCCGAGCCCCUGUUCCAUCAUGAGGCGGGCAAUUAGUUACUUAAUUUUUGGUUGAUUCCAGGCAAUGUAGGCCACCACAUUUAUGGCAGAUGUUAUUUCUUACCACUACUCCACUUCUCUCCUCCUGAGUGAACAGGAGGACAGCACCUCCCCACCUCCUUGAAGGUAGGUGUGACCAGAGGACUGUUUUUGGCCAAUGAAAUGGGAGCAGGAACCGGUCACUUCUGGGAAGAAGCAUUUAGGAGUUUCUGUGCAGUUGUCCGUGUUCUUUCUUUCUCUUCUUUCAAUCGUGGAGGGAUAGGUUGUUACAUAAAUGCCACAAAACUGAAGUACCUUGAAUGCCAGGUUACCACAAGGGGGUCUUCUGCCUCAGGGGGUUGCCUGGACAUGUACUUGGUUUUUCAUGAGCAGGAAAGAAACUUUUGUUUCUUAAUUUUCUCACAAUUAUGGAGGCUGGAAGUCCAAGAUCAAGAUGUCUCCAGGUUCGGUUUCUUCUGAGGCCUCUCCCCGCUUGGUGUGCAGACGGCCGUCUUCUCCCUGUGGUCCGACAUGGUCUUUUCUCUAUUCAUGUGUCCCCAGUGUCUCUCUGUGUGUCCAAAAAAAAAUUUUUUUUUUUUAAAUAAAGAAAGCGAUGGUUUUGGAUUAGGGCCCGCCCAACUUAAUCACUUAAGCCCCAUUUUAACUUAAUCACUACUUGAAAGAACCCUAUUUCCAAUAUAGUCACAUUCUGAGGGGCUGGGCAUUAGGACUUUGACAUAUGAAUGCGACCCCAUAAAUCCUGGAAAUGUACAUUCUAAAGGCGCUUAAGUAGGACUAGAGAGUCAGUGGAUGGUUGGGGUGGGGUCAGCGCGUUGACUUUACGGUCCACUGAUGGAGUGUUUAGUGUUGUGUGGUCCACACAUAUUACUCCUACGUUGCUUGUCCUGACCCAGACAGCUCUGUUGGCUAUAUCUGCAUCAUUCCUGGCCCCACGGAGGAAAAGCAAACCAUCCUGGGCACACCGGCGUGAAGAAGCAGAUGAGAGCCUUCCCAGGCCCAUCUGAUUGGGGAUUUGCCUAGUCAUUUUCCCACUGCUUUCACACCAACUGAACUCUCUCCACAAACCUUAAACCCUUCGGAUUUCACCCAGGGACCAAAGCCCGGUCCCCUCUCCUUUUGGAUCCCUCAAAAUUCUCUAGGGUUUCUAUCAUUUCCCUCCAUUUGGGGGCUAUUCUGGGAUCUGUAUGUGGGCCUAGGAUUUGAGGCUCCUUUCUAGAGACCUACAGUUUCACAAGCAUCUAAAUCUGUUUGCCUUGGCUCUUUCUCCUCCACCUCUAAUUGGGUGGGGAAAACUUGCUCUACCUAACCAUAUAUUCUUUUGUAAUUUUUUA
Molecule: long non-coding RNA, 2244 nt
Organism: Herpailurus yagouaroundi (jaguarundi)
Lineage: Eukaryota; Metazoa; Chordata; Mammalia; Carnivora; Felidae
Exons: 2
Source: RefSeq, a predicted model, not a curated record